RNAcentral lists this long non-coding RNA (5366 nucleotides) under Populus tremula. Its description in RNAcentral is "long non-coding RNA (PTRE_LNC000962)". Lineage: Eukaryota; Viridiplantae; Streptophyta; Magnoliopsida; Malpighiales; Salicaceae. The record is from RNAcentral.
UCCAAUCCGAAGCCAGCCCUCCCCAAACCAAAGUUCACAGAACCAAAACCAGACAAAGGGUAUGACUCAAAACCAUACCUUGGCCGACCAACCAUCCCCAAACCAGACACUGCCAAGAAACCAGACACUGCAAGCCAAAUUAUGGUUACAACCCAAAACCAGAAGUUCCCAAACCGAAAUUGACAAUGCCGAAACCCAACUAUGGUAAUGACCCAAAACCAAAGUUGAUCGUACCCAAACCAGACACUGCCAAGCCAAAUUAUGGUUACAACCCAAAACCAGAAGUUCCCAAACCAAAGAUGACUGUACCAAAACCCGAUCAUGGUUAUGACCCUAAAGGGAAGGUUUACGAACAACCAAAGUCAACUGCACCAAAGCCAGAGAUUAUCACGCGGGAACCAAAGUUAUACAUACCAAAACCAAGUAAUGACAAACUGGACUAUGAGUAUAGCCCAAUCGGCAUCGAAGGUUUUGUCCUCUGCAAACAAGGCUCUAACUAUACCCCUAUUGAAGGUAAUUUCUACACCCUCUUUAAUUAUUCUUCCUCGGAUUCAAUGUAAUACUUUGUUUCGCAUGUAUUAUUAUUCUUACAGACGCUGCUAGCUGAUCAAUGAUAUUCUUUUGUUAAGUUUUCCUCACAGAAACUAUUUUUUUUGCGUGUAGGAGCUGUGAUAAGAAUAGCCUGUACUGCUGUGGACCAGUAUGGUUACAAGAAAGUCCCUUUCUCCUGCUUGACAGAAGCAACUAAUGCAAAGGGUUACUACUUCAAAACAUUGCCUGCUUUCAAGCUCACAGAAUGCAAGGCUUACCUUGAAAGCUCUCCAUUGAAAACCUGCAACGUUCCUACAGAUAUGAACUAUGGGAUCACCGGUGCUCCCCUUUCAGCUUAUCACCUUCUCCAUGACAAGAAAAUAAAACUGUACUCCAUGAGGACUUUCUUCUACACCUCGACGAAACCUACAUCAACCCCUGCUGGUUAUUAAAUUGCCUUCUCUCCAUGACUUCAAUUUUCUAUUUUUUACAUUGUUUAAAGCUGUUGUAACGGAUUGAUUUCCUUCUUGUUGUUUAUAUUUAUGGGCUUUUGUCUUGAUGAUCAGUUUCAUUAUGGGGAGAGUUUUGUGAUAAAAAUUCUUCAAUUAAGAUUUUUCUUUUCUUUAAAUCUUGGGAGAUUAAUGAUGUAUCAGUAUCACCAAAUAUUAAUGAACCACGAGGUCAUUGAUUUUUGUUCUUAAAAAAAAGGAGUUAAAGACUAGUCUUUUUUGUAUUUUGUCCUCCGGUUUUAUCAUGUUUCCACUUCAAUGUGUGCAUUUAUAAAUACUAAGUUACUUGGCAUGUGCUUAGUAAAUUUAUUAUUUGAUUAAUUUAUAGUAUUUUUUUUUAUUUUUUGAUAAAUUGUUUAUAAUUUUUUACAAAUGAAUAAAUUUAAGUUUUUAUUAAAUAUAAAUGUACUUGAUUUUUAAAUAAUUAUAUAUGAAUUUUGAUAAUUAUAAUAAAUUAAUUAUCACAUAAAUUUUGAUAUAAUUUAAGAGUUUUUGUAUUUUAAGACUUUAUAUUUCUUCACAGCUUAUUUUUAGUCUUUUAGAUUUUUAAUAGUUAAAAUAGAAUAUGAAUAUAAUAUUAUAUAGUUGAGGAUUGAUUUAAGUAGAUUAUUUUUAAGAUUGAGGAUGUUUUUCAAUGAAUAAUAAGUGGCUGGUAGCUGGUGUCUAGUAAUAUAAACCUGCAAAAAAUUUCUUUUGAUGAAUAUAAAAUCUCUUAAAUACUUAAAUCAAAUAAUUUUAUAAAGAAAAAGUUCAACAUUAAAUAUUUCCUUUUGCAUUGUGCUUUCCUUAAAAACCCAUUUACAACUAGUUUUCUUGCAUUUACUAGGCAAUUCAAUGAGAUGUGACAAGUUGGAUACUUUAGAAUAAAUCAUUGCACCUAACAAUGUCUAUUAAAACACAAUUAUAUUUUUUAGUAACUUUAUUUUACUGCAGCAUCCCUGACAUUGUAUAUCAUCGCACCCCUAAUAAUGUCUAUUAGAGUACAAUUAUGUUUUUCAGUAACUCCAUUCUACUGUAGCAUCCCUGACAUUGUAUAUCAUGCCCGAAUGCCUUAUUUUUUAAAAACUUAGAAAAUGUACCAAGAUUUUAUCUUAACUUAUCGUACCUAUCAUAGUACUCACCACUCUUAUUUGAUCCAAUAAUUUUAACAUUUCUAUCUAAUUAUCUCUUGGCUUCAAUGAUGCACACUAUAUGGAUGUCAACAAUUUGAGAUUUCUUAUGCAUUAGAUAUACAUAACCAUAACAUGACAUAUAUUUUUUGAAACAUAAAAUAUAGAGUGGUCGAAUAUGAAUAUGAAUAUGAAUAUAUAUAUAUAUAUAUAUAUAUAUAUAUAUAUAUAUAUAUAUAUAAUUUAAUGCAAUCCAUACACAAGUCCAAAUAAGUGAAAUCUAGUUUUUCCAAAACUUCAUUCUUCACUAAUAUCUAAAUCCUUUCCCUAAAGACAUGCCUCAUACAUCUAUGCCACAAGGUAAAUUUCAUUUAUUUCAUUACACUUUAAAACAACAUUAUAAUGCAAGGCCAUCAAACAUUGCUUUUCUAAUUAGUUUUUUUAUUUUUAUUUUAUUAUAUCUUUUAAUAUUAAAUUGGUUGAAUUUUCAGCUUCAUAUUUUAUUUUAUUUUGCUUUCUAAGUGGUUAUCAGAAUCUCAUAACCUGGAUCACAAAUUUUGUAGGUUGACUUUAUUCAUUUUUUCGGGUUCUUUUUUAAUUGAAUAUUUUUUUUUAAUUGGGCUUUGUAAAAAAAAAUUCUGAUUUUUUUUAUAGGGUUAUCUCAAUCUUAUAAAUCAGGUUACGAGUUUGACAUGUUGACUCGAUUUAUUUUUUAGAUUUUUUUUAAUUGAAUAUUUUUUUUGACAUGUUGUUUAGGAAUUAAGUUUCGUAAUUUUUUUUUUUCAGUAGAGUUAUCUUGGUUCAUGUAUUUAGUCUUUUUUUCAAUUUCAAUAUUUAAUAUUUGAUCUGUUGGAAAUGUAGCUUCAUAGUUUUUUUAUUUGUAUUUUAUGAAGUUAUCAUGAUCUUAUUAUUUAUGUUACGAGUCUAAUAGGUUAGCCCAAGUUGAAUUGGGUUAUUUUUUUUCCUUUUUCAAAGUGAUUUUUUUGUUUUAUCUUUUAACAUUGGGUUAGUUGAAAAUUGAGUUUCAUAACUUUUUGUUAUUUGAUUUCUAUAAGGUUAUCUUGAUCUCAUAACUAGAGUUGUGGGUUAACACGAGUUGACGAGAGUCAUUUUUUAUUUAAAAUGUUUUUUUUUCAAUUUCAUAAUUUAUUUUAAUUUGUUUUUUAUAGAAUUAUUUCGGUCUCAUGAUUCAAUUGCAGAUUUAUCAGGUUAACACAAACAUAUCCAAUAUGUCAUUGUCAUAAUAUUUGAAGAAAUAUUAUCCAAUAUGUUAUUAUAUCAAUAUUUAGAAAAAAUGUCAUCCAAUAUACAUCUUAUUUUGAGUUAUGAAUAAUUGUUUUUUAGUUAAAAAAAUUGAUUUCACCCAUAGCACAGUGCAUGCCAAUAAUCUCGUAAUAUUCUAUAACAUAAUGCGGAAAUAAAAUAGUGAGAUCGAAUACAUACCAUUAUUAUUCAUGAUAUCCAAUGAAGAAAUCUUUGUUUAUAUAUAUUCAGUUACCUACUUAUUAUAAUUUAUUUAGUGUCUUUUUAUAGAGGAUAUAGUGGUGAGUAAAAAAGAUAAUCAUCGGGUCUAAUUAUUUAUCAUGAUUCCUUAAAUUUUUUUUAUAGACUGUUUGAACCCUAUAAAUUAAAUUAAACUCACAUGGUUAAAUCACUUUUUAUGUUUGAAUUCUUUUAAGGAUAUUAAUUUUAGUUCGAAACGAAAUUGAAUUUAUAAAAAAUAUGCAAGAUUUUCUAGUGUGCCACGGUAAUUCCUCUUGAAAUUCUUGUUGUUUAUAAUAUUCCAAAGAUACCUCUUUUCAAUGCAGAAAACAGGAUAAAAAAAAGGAAGAAAGAAGAGGUUGGUGAUUAAAAACCUUUCACAAGAACGCAACCUUUCUGGUGUCAACUUCUCUUCUCUCUUAAUCUUAGUUUGUACAGAACUUAAUUCAGAGACGGGUUUUGAAUCGGCAUCUCGUCUUCUUUGACAAUAUCAUCAUUAACUUCGUUAUUGAGUUUUUUGAAGCCAUCCACACCUGUUGUGCUUCAACAUGCUUCAAGCUAUCAAGUUUUCAGUCGCUAAAAAGGCCAAAAAGGGUAGCCAGUGCUUUACUACCAGGCAUCACUUCUCAUGGAGCACGGUCCCAGGCAAAAAUGUUUAGAACUAGAGCAAUCACUUCAGCAGAUUAAGAUUAUGCAGACAUGAGCACAUCUCAACUUUGGAAAAACUGACCUGUGAUGAUUGCAUGGUUUGGACAGAAAUGUAUUGUAAGACAACUAGCACAGCAGGCAAAACAAGAUACAUAUGCCACGGUAUCCGACCAUCAAGGGGUGUGUGUCCAUCUUGAGAAACAAUCAAUCAAUAAACAUGAAGCAAGAUCCACAUGAAGGAAAUAAAGGCCUUUAUUUUAUGUCAUUUUCAAUGAAUUAUAUUUUAUCCAGAAACUGUUGAUUACAAGUAUACAAAUUUCAAGACAUAUAGCAAAGGCACGUCCUGAAUAAAAAUGCCGAAUAUAAUAAUAUUGUCCAAAGUCCAAGCCAUCAUGCCGUAUUGCAAUGUGUCCUUGGUGUAGGAGUAUUGCUCAUCACGUCGCUCACCCCUCCUCUCCUACUGUGCAUACAAUUAGUCUCCCUUUCCUUCCUAUAUUUUAUUUCUCAGAUUAGGAACCCAAUCGGGCAAUCAGUCCUAUAAAAGGCCAUGAUGAUGGUAGCGUCGAUCCCUGUCCUCUUUGCGAUGGCUCUAACCCAUUCCUCCUCCGCCACCUUAUUCCUCCUCUUGUCAUUGUCAGUGAUUGCCUCCGCUGGCGGUUACGGCUAUGACCAAAAGCCAAAUACAACCAAGCCAGAUCAUACUUACAACUCGAAAUCAAAGCCAGACACUUCCAAACCCAAGUAUAGUUAUGACCCCAAACCACGGCCACACGUCGUCAAACCAGACCUCCACAAACCAUAUUACGACUCCGAAGCCAACCCUCCCCAAACCAAAGUUCACAGAACCAAAACCAGACAAAGGGUAUGACUCAAAACCAUACCUUGGCCAACCAACCAUCCCCAAACCAGACGCUGCCAAGCCAAAUUAUGGUUACAACCCAAAACCAGAAGUUCCCAAACCGAAAUUGACAAUGCCGAAACCCAACUAUGGUAAUGACCCAAAACCAAAGUUGGUCGUACCCAAACCAGACACUGCCAAGACAAAUUAUGGUUACAAACCAAAACACGAAGUUCCCAAACCAAAGAU